RNAcentral lists this long non-coding RNA (925 nucleotides) under Homo sapiens (human). RNAcentral describes it as "HSALNT0130202". The record is from RNAcentral. Lineage: Eukaryota; Metazoa; Chordata; Mammalia; Primates; Hominidae.
CCGGAGCCUGCGCCCCGGACCCAGCGGGGGCUGAUCCCUGGGAAAGGCCUGGCUUCCUCUUCCUUCCUGUCCCUGCCCCACCUCCGCCGGGCUCCACAGCCGCCGGGAGCCCAGGGCCGAGACGGGAGGAGGGCACCCACCUGGUCGGUGUCACAUGCUGCUUCGGCCCCAGCGUCCCCUCCAGGUCCCGGCGCCGGCCGCAGUCCCCAGAGCCGUCCCCAGCGCAGGCCCGGCCGCCCCACCCGCGGCCCGCCCCUGGCCGCCCGACGGGAGGGAGGGAUCGGGUUCUCCUAGGAAGUUUCAGUAUGCAUUCUUAGAAACCAGAUAUACAAAGACAAGAUCUCUGCUUUCAAGAAGCUCUCAAUCUGAUUGAGGAGAGAAACAGGUAGCAAAUAAUGGCAGCAGAGCAUGACGGAGUCUCACUCUGUCACCCAGGCUGGAGUGCAGUGGCGGGAUCUCGGCUCACUGCAAGCUCCGCCUCCCGGGUUCACGCCAUUCUCCUGCCUCAGCCUCCCAAGUAGCUGGGACUACAGGCGCCCACCACUACGCCCGGCUAAUUUUUUUGUAUUUUUAGUAGAGACGGGGUUUCACCGUUUUAGCCGGGAUGGUCUCGAUCUCCUGACCUCGUGAUCCGCCCGCCUCGGCCUCCCAAAGUGCUGGGAUUACAGGCGUGAGCCACCGCGCCCGGCCGUGCUGACUGUUUUUUGAAGAUAAAAUGAUCAAGUCAGAUUUGAAGAAUUGACUGUUGGAGGUGAAUAAAAUGAUGUCCUCUCUGAGUACUUCUCUGUUUGUGAGAGGACUCCUUGAGGAGUUCUGCUCUUGAUUUUGCAGGGGCUGCCUCUAGAGCUCUGUGUUUUAUUUGCAGAAAGAAGCUCAACUAUUAAUACUUUGCUGCUUGCUUUGAACUUGCAUUUCACAGCCUGGC